CGCGGCCUAUCAGCUUGUUGGUGAGGUAAUGGCUCACCAAGGCUUCGACGGGUAGCCGGCCUGAGAGGGUGACCGGCCACACUGGGACUGAGACACGGCCCAGACUCCUACGGGAGGCAGCAGUGGGGAAUAUUGGACAAUGGGCGAAAGCCUGAUCCAGCAACGCCGCGUGAGGGAUGACUGCCUUCGGGUUGUAAACCUCUUUCAGCGGGGACGAAGCGAAAGUGACGGUACCCGCAGAAGAAGCACCGGCCAACUACGUGCCAGCAGCCGCGGUAAUACGUAGGGUGCGAGCGUUGUCCGGAAUUAUUGGGCGUAAAGGGCUCGUAGGCGGUUUGUCACGUCGGGAGUGAAAACUCGGGGCUUAACCCCGAGCUGGCUUCCGAUACGGGCAGACUAGAGGUAUGCAGGGGAGAACGGAAUUCCUGGUGUAGCGGUGAAAUGCGCAGAUAUCAGGAGGAACACCGGUGGCGAAGGCGGUUCUCUGGGCAUUACCUGACGCUGAGGAGCGAAAGUGUGGGGAGCGAACAGGAUUAGAUACCCUGGUAGUCCACACCGUAAACGUUGGGCGCUAGGUGUGGGACUCAUUCCACGAGUUCCGUGCCGCAGCUAACGCAUUAAGCGCCCCGCCUGGGGA
RNAcentral lists this ribosomal RNA (637 nucleotides) under uncultured bacterium. RNAcentral describes it as "bacterial SSU rRNA". It matches the Rfam family "Bacterial small subunit ribosomal RNA", at positions 232 to 879 of the family's 1533-position model. The record is from RNAcentral.